Molecule: ribosomal RNA, 594 nt
Filed under: uncultured bacterium
Lineage: Bacteria
Description: bacterial SSU rRNA
Rfam family: Bacterial small subunit ribosomal RNA
Source: RNAcentral
UCGAGGGGCAGCAUUUCAGUUUGCUUGCAAACUGGAGAUGGCGACCGGCGCACGGGUGAGUAACACGUAUCCAACCUGCCGAUAACUCGGGGAUAGCCUUUCGAAAGAAAGAUUAAUACCCGAUGGUAUAAUUAGACCGCAUGGUCUUGUUAUUAAAGAAUUUCGGUUAUCGAUGGGGAUGCGUUCCAUUAGGCAGUUGGUGAGGUAACGGCUCACCAAACCUUCGAUGGAUAGGGGUUCUGAGAGGAAGGUCCCCCACAUUGGAACUGAGACACGGUCCAAACUCCUACGGGAGGCAGCAGUGAGGAAUAUUGGUCAAUGGGCGCAGGCCUGAACCAGCCAAGUAGCGUGAAGGAUGACUGCCCUAUGGGUUGUAAACUUCUUUUAUAUGGGAAUAAAGUUUUCCACGUGUGGAAUUUUGUAUGUACCAUAUGAAUAAGGAUCGGCUAACUCCGUGCCAGCAGCCGCGGUAAUACGGAGGAUCCGAGCGUUAUCCGGAUUUAUUGGGUUUAAAGGGAGCGUAGGUGGACAGUUAAGUCAGUUGUGAAAGUUUGCGGCUCAACCGUAAAAUUGCAGUUGAUACUGGCUGUCUUG